Molecule: ribosomal RNA, 662 nt
Filed under: Salmonella enterica
Lineage: Bacteria; Pseudomonadati; Pseudomonadota; Gammaproteobacteria; Enterobacterales; Enterobacteriaceae
Also listed under: 1 other name
Description: partial 23S ribosomal RNA
Rfam family: Bacterial large subunit ribosomal RNA
Source: RNAcentral
GUGGACGCCAGUCUGCGUGGAGCCGACCUUGAAAUACCACCCUUUAAUGUUUGAUGUUCUAACGUGGACCCGUUACCCGGGUUGCGGACAGUGUCUGGUGGGUAGUUUGACUGGGGCGGUCUCCUCCUAAAGAGUAACGGAGGAGCACGAAGGUUGGCUAAUCCUGGUCGGACAUCAGGAGGUUAGUGCAAUGGCAUAAGCCAGCUUGACUGCGAGCGUGACGGCGCGAGCAGGUGCGAAAGCAGGUCAUAGUGAUCCGGUGGUUCUGAAUGGAAGGGCCAUCGCUCAACGGAUAAAAGGUACUCCGGGGAUAACAGGCUGAUACCGCCCAAGAGUUCAUAUCGACGGCGGUGUUUGGCACCUCGAUGUCGGCUCAUCACAUCCUGGGGCUGAAGUAGGUCCCAAGGGUAUGGCUGUUCGCCAUUUAAAGUGGUACGCGAGCUGGGUUUAGAACGUCGUGAGACAGUUCGGUCCCUAUCUGCCGUGGGCGCUGGAGAACUGAGGGGGGCUGCUCCUAGUACGAGAGGACCGGAGUGGACGCAUCACUGGUGUUCGGGUUGUCAUGCCAAUGGCACUGCCCGGUAGCUAAAUGCGGAAGAGAUAAGUGCUGAAAGCAUCUAAGCACGAAACUUGCCCCGAGAUGAGUUCUCCCUGAGACUUAG